CAAGGGCUAUAGGGAUCUGAUUAUAGCUGGAAUAUCUAUCGAGAAAAUAAUAGAACUCUUGUCCGACUAAUUUUUCUACCGUUUGAUCAAUAAACGAUAAUGAAAAGUGAUCUUUUCUUGCUUUUUUGACUACAUCCUUCAUGGCUGGGUUAAGUCUUCUCUGAGCAUCUCUAGUUGGUUUGAUCUCUUCCUCUAGGUGUAUCCUGUGUUGAACUAUGGAAGGGCUUAUUCUCUUAAUAUCAGUCAUGGUCCAGCCUAUUGCUUCAUGAUUCUUUUUUAGAAUUGCUAACAACUCCUCUUGUUUAAGAUUUAUGUCAGAUGCAAUAAUUAUAGGCAAGAUUUUCUCUGGACCUAAAUAUGCAUACUUAAGGUGCUCGGGGAGG
This 383-nucleotide long non-coding RNA is filed under the name Elaeis guineensis (African oil palm). RNAcentral's name for it is "long non-coding RNA (EGUI_LNC069369)". Lineage: Eukaryota; Viridiplantae; Streptophyta; Magnoliopsida; Arecales; Arecaceae. The record is from RNAcentral.